This 492-nucleotide ribosomal RNA is filed under the name uncultured bacterium. RNAcentral describes it as "partial 16S ribosomal RNA". It matches the Rfam family "Bacterial small subunit ribosomal RNA", at positions 29 to 507 of the family's 1533-position model. The record is from RNAcentral.
AUUGAACGCUGGCGGCAUGCUUUACACAUGCAAGUCGAACGGUAACAGGCCUUCGGGUGCUGACGAGUGGCGAACGGGUGAGUAAUGCAUCGGAACGUACCCAGAGGUGGGGGAUAACGCAGCGAAAGCUGUGCUAAUACUGCAUGUGAUCUGAGGAUGAAAGCGGGGGACCGAGCAGCAAUGUUUGGCCUCGCGCCUUUGGAGCGGCCGAUGUCGGAUUAGCUAGUUGGUGGGGUAAAGGCCUACCAAGGCGACGAUCCGUAGCUGGUCUGAGAGGACGACAAGCCACACUGGGACUGGGACACGGCCCAGACUCCUACGGGAGGGAGCAGUGGGGAAUUUUGGACAAUGGGCGCAAGCCUGAUCCAGCAAUGCCGCGUGCGGGAAGAAGGCCUUCGGGUUGUAAACCGCUUUUGGCAGGAACGAAACGGUGUCCGCUAAUACCGGGCGCUAAUGACGGUACCUGCAGAAUAAGCACCGGCUAACUACGUG